AGAGGCUUAGGAUAAUAUAAAAGACCAAGAGCCUUCAAAGCCCUAAGUGGGAGUGAAAAUCUUCCAGCCUCUG
RNAcentral lists this transfer RNA (73 nucleotides) under Goodea gracilis. Its description in RNAcentral is "tRNA-Trp". It matches the Rfam family "tRNA". Rfam says of the family: Transfer RNA (tRNA) molecules are approximately 80 nucleotides in length. Their secondary structure includes four short double-helical elements and three loops (D, anti-codon, and T loops). The record is from RNAcentral. Lineage: Eukaryota; Metazoa; Chordata; Actinopteri; Cyprinodontiformes; Goodeidae.